AACGAACGCUGGCGGCAUGCCUAACACAUGCAAGUCGAACGAGACCUUCGGGUCUAGUGGCGCACGGGUGCGUAACGCGUGGGAAUCUGCCCUUGGGUUCGGAAUAACAGUUGGAAACGACUGCUAAUACCGAAUGAUGACUCCGGUCCAAAGAUUUAUCGCCCAGGGAUGAGCCCGCGUCGGAUUAGCUAGUUGGUGAG
RNAcentral lists this ribosomal RNA (200 nucleotides) under uncultured bacterium. RNAcentral's name for it is "partial 16S ribosomal RNA". It matches the Rfam family "Bacterial small subunit ribosomal RNA", at positions 29 to 256 of the family's 1533-position model. The record is from RNAcentral.